AUACUUACCUGGCAAGGGAGACACCGUGAUCAUCAAGGCGGUUCACCCAGGGCGAGGCUCGGCCAUUGCACUGCGGCUGUGCUGACCCCUGCGAAUUUCCCAAAUGUGGAAAUCUCGAUUGCAUAAUUUCUGGUAGUGGGGGACUGCGUUCGCGCUCUCCCCUG
Small nuclear RNA from Esox lucius (northern pike), 164 nucleotides. Its record names the gene U1. It matches the Rfam family "U1 spliceosomal RNA". Rfam says of the family: U1 is a small nuclear RNA (snRNA) component of the spliceosome (involved in pre-mRNA splicing). Its 5' end forms complementary base pairs with the 5' splice junction, thus defining the 5' donor site of an intron. The record is from Ensembl. NCBI's taxonomy places the organism in Eukaryota, Metazoa, Chordata, Actinopteri, Esociformes, Esocidae.